AGUGAACGCUGGCGGUAGGCCUAACACAUGCAAGUCGAACGGCAGCACAGGAGAGCUUGCUCUCUGGGUGGCGAGUGGCGGACGGGUGAGGAAUACAUCGGAAUCUACUCUGUCGUGGGGGAGAACGUAGGGAAACUUACGCUAAUCCCGCAUACGACCUACGGGUGAAAGCAGGGGAUCUUCGGACCUUGCGCGAUUGAAUGAGCCGAUGUAGGAUUAGCUAGUUGGCGGGGUAAAGGCCCACCAAGGCGACGAUCCGUAGCUGGUCUGAGAGGAUGAUCAGCCACACUGGAACUGAGACACGGUCCAGACUCCUACGGGAGGCAGCAGUGGGGAAUAUUGGACAAUGGGCGCAAGCCUGAUCCAGCCAUACCGCGUGGGUGAAGAAGGCCUUCGGGUUGUAAAGCCCUUUUGUUGGGAAAGAAAUCCAGCUGGCUAAUACCCGGUUGGGAUGACGGUACCCAAAGAAUAAGCACCGGCUAACUUCGUGCCAGCCGCCGCAGUAA
RNAcentral lists this ribosomal RNA (506 nucleotides) under uncultured bacterium. RNAcentral's name for it is "partial 16S ribosomal RNA". It matches the Rfam family "Bacterial small subunit ribosomal RNA", at positions 29 to 523 of the family's 1533-position model. The record is from RNAcentral.